CCUACGGGAGGCUGCAGUGGGGAAUUUUCCGCAAUGGGCGAAAGCCUGACGGAGCAAUACCGCGUGAGGGAGGAAGGCUCUUGGGUUGUAAACCUCUUUUCUCAGGGAAGAACAAAAUGACGGUACCUGAGGAAUAAGCAUCGGCUAACUCCGUGCCAGCAGCCGCGGUAAUACGGAGGAUGCAAGCGUUAUCCGGAAUUAUUGGGCGUAAAGCGUCCGCAGGUGGCAAUUCAAGUCUGCUGUUAAAGGUUCUGGCUCAACCAGAAACAGGCAGUGGAAACUGAAUAGCUAGAGUGCGGUAGGGGCAGAGGGAAUUCCCAGUGUAGCGGUGAAAUGCGUAGAGAUUGGGAAGAACACCGGUGGCGAAAGCGCUCUGCUAGGCCGUAACUGACACUCAUGG
This 400-nucleotide ribosomal RNA is filed under the name uncultured bacterium. RNAcentral's name for it is "bacterial SSU rRNA". It matches the Rfam family "Bacterial small subunit ribosomal RNA", at positions 338 to 752 of the family's 1533-position model. The record is from RNAcentral.